This 301-nucleotide ribosomal RNA is filed under the name uncultured bacterium. RNAcentral's name for it is "partial 16S ribosomal RNA". It matches the Rfam family "Bacterial small subunit ribosomal RNA", at positions 509 to 807 of the family's 1533-position model. The record is from RNAcentral.
CAGUAGCCACGGUAAUACGAAGGGGGCUAGCGUUGCUCGGAAUUACUGGGCGUAAAGGGAGCGUAGGCGGACUGUUUAGUCAGAGGUGAAAGCCCAGGGCUCAACCUUGGAAUUGCCUUUGAUACUGGCAGUCUUGAGUACGGAAGAGGUAUGUGGAACUCCGAGUGUAGAGGUGAAAUUCGUAGAUAUUCGGAAGAACACCAGUGGCGAAGGCGACAUACUGGUCCGUUACUGACGCUGAGGCACGAGAGCGUGGGGAGCAAACAGGAUUAGAUACCCCCGUAGUCCCUGUCUCUUAUAC